AGUAUCAGAGGCAGUAGUGGCUUUCUCUUAAACGCUUAUAAAUAAAAUGUCUAACACUGGAAGGUUAAAUAUGGACGCUCUAAGGCCGCCUUAAUCAAAUGGAUGUAGAUUGUGGCCUUCAUUAUGAAUGAAUCCUGAAGGAAUCUCCAUCUUGGAUCCUGUAUCAGUGACUGAAGUGAGUCUGAAGGCUCUUCUCUCUGCAGGUAACUGCCGCCUAGAGGCUAUGCUCAGACCAGAUCGACUUCGGAUUAAUGCGAGGUGAUUGAGGAGGAACAUUUAGUGAUCCUCUGGAGGGGGAUGGAACUUGAACCAGAGGUGGAGCUUUCUGGGAGGAGGUGGUCAUGACUUGAGUGAUCCUCAUUGCUCAGAGCUCCCCCCCCCCCCCCCCAAAGUGCAGAUACGUGAUGCUCUGCUGUGCUGUCACCUUACACCCCUCCAAAAAAGGAAAUCCAUACCAUAAAUUGAACAAUGCAGAAUACUUUACACCAAUCUCAUUCCCCUCUGAAAGAGUAACUACAUGUACAUUACAAUAUCUUCCUAUUUUUAUAUACAAGUCAGGACUAUCCUGGUACUCAACCCAGAAGUGGAAAAGGGCUUGUGUGCAUGGACUGCUAUUCAUAAAUGUUCAAGGCACUGUUGCGUGACUGAUUCUGGAACUGGAAAAUGGUGUGCUAUAUUCAAUACUAUGCAUUGUUGUGCAAUAAAACUAAACUUGUCUGAA
Neoarius graeffei (lesser salmon catfish) is the source of this 721-nucleotide long non-coding RNA. RefSeq lists it as uncharacterized. The record is from RefSeq and is a predicted model, not a curated record. The transcript is spliced from 4 exons. Lineage: Eukaryota; Metazoa; Chordata; Actinopteri; Siluriformes; Ariidae.